Molecule: non-coding RNA, 582 nt
Organism: Physcomitrium patens
Lineage: Eukaryota; Viridiplantae; Streptophyta; Bryopsida; Funariales; Funariaceae
Source: RefSeq, a predicted model, not a curated record
AACCCACCCGGGCCAUCGUGCUGGGGAGCACCGUCUUGCUUAUCCCCUGCGUCCAGGAUUUUAGGUAUUUGUGUAAAUUUGUUGCCACUACGCAUUCCUGCCCUAGUUUCGUAGUCCUAUUGAAACUUUUCGACGUGCGUGGUUUUGCCUUUGCGAAACCAUCACUAACUCACCACCAUGGGAUUUUUUGGACGUAAGAAGAAAGCAGAGGAGACUCUUCCACCCGCUCCCCAGCCAAGCAAACCCAACUUGGAGUCACCCGCCAUAGCCGAACCUCCCAAACCUGACAUCAACGCAGCUUUCAAAUCCGAAACAAGUGUAUUCGAAUUCGGGUCCAGCAGUGACGAUGGCGUUACUCUAGCAGGAUACUGCCCUGUCUCAGAUGAAAUGGAGCCUUGCAGGUGGGAAAUUCUGCCCUCUGGGGGCAAGGAAGCUCCCAAGUUCCGCAUCAUUUUCUGAGGUGAUGCUUGCUUGCUUCCAAUGUAUCUGUGAGGAUAGUCUUCUGAACAAAGUUGAUUAUAUUAUAUCAUCAGAUUGUCUUGUAAAUUUUUUCUCUUGAAUGUAUUGGGCUGUCAGUGAUCA